Prunus mume (Japanese apricot) is the source of this 653-nucleotide long non-coding RNA. RefSeq lists it as uncharacterized. NCBI's taxonomy places the organism in Eukaryota, Viridiplantae, Streptophyta, Magnoliopsida, Rosales, Rosaceae. The record is from RefSeq and is a predicted model, not a curated record.
CAGUACCUCUCAUACAGAAAAACGGCUCUUCCAAGCUAGUUAGGGUUUCUUCUGUUUGGCUUUCUUCUUGAGAAAAAAAAAAAUGGAGGAAAAUCAAAGCAUCCUUCUCUUCUUACAUCAGAAGAAAGUCAAAUACAAAGACUACUUUUCCGUGGAGAUCAUGGAUCAGGUCAAUUUACAUCGAAUCAAUGAUUUACCAGAAACUGAGGAGGGCGUUCUGCAAUACAGUGGCGGAUGCCAUAAUCAUCGGCCUCGAAAUUAACGACAAUGAGAGGGUGUGCCAGAUGAAGAAAGGGAUGCCUUUUAGAAAGAGCUCAUCAGUGAGAACUAUUGAUGCUUUGGAAGUACAAUGAUGCCGCAAAAUCCCCAUAUUUCUCCUUUGGAUGUAAAUGUAAAGAGGAUGAUCAUGAGGGAAUAGCAAGUGGCAAUACAGGCGCCCAAAUAGUCUUCCAUAAAGAUGUUGGUCCUGGAAUUUGCAGUUUGGAUUUGUUCAAUUGAAGCAGAUAUGAGUUGUCAAUACUUGUGGCUUGCACAUUUAGUACUGUGCAAUGUGUAAUUAUAGUAAUUUUGCUAGCUAAAAGUUCACAAUGUGUAAUUGAAUUUAUUUAUUUAUUCUUAUUUAGAAUCAGAUUGAAAUUGCCGAAUCAAUGAUU